UUUUGCUUUUGGAAUGUUUAGCUAUUUUUUUGACGACAAAAGAAGUUGGCGGAGUAACUAAGUAGUUGAGAGGACUAACGCGACUAUUUACGUGAACAGUUACUUGAUCGAUAGAACAGUAAACAAGUGGUAUAAUAAUUAGCUAUUUAAAGCUGUAUCUAAUUUAUAAUCUUACUUCGGCUUCCUAUUUUGUUCUAUGACUAAUUAAUUACCAAGGAAUAAUUUGCAAGUAUUCGUAACUGGUCAGGCGCUAUACAAAAAUCCAAACUUCGAAAGUAGGAAGACUUUUCCAUAUUACUGAUUACGAAUUUUGUUAAAAUAAAAAUUCUUGACACA
Molecule: non-coding RNA, 336 nt
Organism: Schizosaccharomyces pombe (fission yeast)
Lineage: Eukaryota; Fungi; Ascomycota; Schizosaccharomycetes; Schizosaccharomycetales; Schizosaccharomycetaceae
Source: the annotation of a GenBank genome assembly